UCUCCGUUGGUGAACCAGCGGAGGGAUCAUUGCUGGAACGCGCUUCGGCGCACCCAGAAACCCUUUGUGAACUUAUACCUAUUGUUGCCUCGGCGUUAGGCCGGCCUCUUCACUGAGGCCCCCUGGAAACAGGGAGCAGCCCGCCGGCGGCCAACUAAACUCUUGUUUCUAUAGUGAAUCUCUGAGUAAAAAACAUAAAUGAAUCAAAACUUUCAACAACGGAUCUCUUGGUUCUGGCAUCGAUGAAGAACGCAGCGAAAUGCGAUAAGUAAUGUGAAUUGCAGAAUUCAGUGAAUCAUCGAAUCUUUGAACGCACAUUGCGCCCCCUGGUAUUCCGGGGGGCAUGCCUGUUCGAGCGUCAUUUCAACCCUCAAGCCUGGCUUGGUGAUGGGGCACUGCUUCGAAAGGAGCAGGCCCUGAAAUUCAGUGGCGAGCUCGCCAGGACCCCGAGCGUAGUAGUUAUAUCUCGCUUUGGAAGGCCCUGGCGGUGCCCUGCCGUUAAACCCCCAACUUCUGAAAAUUUGACCUCGGAUCAGGUAGGAAUACCCGCUGAACUUAA
Molecule: ribosomal RNA, 559 nt
Filed under: Phomopsis sp.
Lineage: Eukaryota; Fungi; Ascomycota; Sordariomycetes; Diaporthales; Diaporthaceae
Description: eukaryotic LSU rRNA
Rfam family: 5.8S ribosomal RNA (bases 208-361)
Source: RNAcentral